This 268-nucleotide ribosomal RNA is filed under the name uncultured bacterium. Its description in RNAcentral is "partial 16S ribosomal RNA". It matches the Rfam family "Bacterial small subunit ribosomal RNA", at positions 88 to 354 of the family's 1533-position model. The record is from RNAcentral.
AUGGCGACCGGCGCACGGGCGAGUAACGCGUAUCCAACCUGCCCUUUACUAUGGGACAGCCCGUCGAAAGGCGGAUUAAUACCGUAUGUUGUCAUGUUGAUGCAUAUUUUCAUGACCAAAGGCUUCGGCCGGUAAAGGAUGGGGAUGCGUCUGAUUAGCUUGCCGGCGGGGUAACGGCCCACCGGGGCGACGAUCAGUAGGGGUUCUGAGAGGAAGGUCCCCCACAUUGGAACUGAGACACGGUCCAAACUCCUACGGAAGGCAGCAG